RNAcentral lists this non-coding RNA (21 nucleotides) under Arabidopsis thaliana (thale cress). Lineage: Eukaryota; Viridiplantae; Streptophyta; Magnoliopsida; Brassicales; Brassicaceae. The record is from RNAcentral.
UGGAAUUCAGUUGGCGUUACA